CUCAUGGCAGGUUGUCAUACAGACUCUGGAUUUUUUUCAACUCUUGUAAAUCGGGUAUAAUAUUUUUACAAGAUAUUAGCCAUCAUUAAGGUUGGACUGGCCCAGCUUUCUUGCACAUCAACUUCAUCUGAGGAAAGAAUUUUCUACCCAUAACAUAUGCUCCCUAUUUUCGAGCUCGAGCUAGAAUUAGAUCGGACUAAGGGAGUAC
Molecule: long non-coding RNA, 208 nt
Filed under: Elaeis guineensis (African oil palm)
Lineage: Eukaryota; Viridiplantae; Streptophyta; Magnoliopsida; Arecales; Arecaceae
Description: long non-coding RNA (EGUI_LNC012853)
Source: RNAcentral